AGCUGAUUGGCGGGAUCCC
This 19-nucleotide small nuclear RNA is filed under the name Arabidopsis thaliana (thale cress). Its description in RNAcentral is "snRNA_12534". The record is from RNAcentral. Lineage: Eukaryota; Viridiplantae; Streptophyta; Magnoliopsida; Brassicales; Brassicaceae.